GAUGAACGCUGGCGGCGUGCCUAAUACAUGCAAGUCGAGCGAACAGACGAGGAGCUUGCUCCUCUGACGUUAGCGGCGGACGGGUGAGUAACACGUGGAUAACCUACCUAUAAGACUGGGAUAACUUCGGGAAACCGGAGCUAAUACCGGAUAAUAUAUUGAACCGCAUGGUUCUAAAGUAAAAGAUGGUUUGCUAUCACUUAUAGAUGGACCCGCGCCGUAUUAGCUAGUUGGUAAGGUGACGGCUUACCAAGGCAACGAUACGUAGCCGACCUGAGAGGGUGAACGGCCACACUGGGACUGAGACACGGCCCAG
Molecule: ribosomal RNA, 316 nt
Filed under: uncultured bacterium
Lineage: Bacteria
Description: bacterial SSU rRNA
Rfam family: Bacterial small subunit ribosomal RNA
Source: RNAcentral